AUUGAACGCUGGCGGCAGGCCUAACACAUGCAAGUCGAACGAGUGGCGGACGGGUGAGUAAUGUCUGGGAAACUGCCUGAUGGAGGGGGAUAACUACUGGAAACGGUAGCUAAUACCGCAUACCAGCGGAUGUGCCCAGAUGGGAUUAGCUAGUAGGUGGGGUAAAGGCUCACCUAGGCGACGAUCCCUAGCUGGUCUGAGAGGAUGACCAGCCGCCCGUGAACUGAGACACGGUGCAGACUCCUACGUGAGGCAGCAGUGGGGAAUAUUGCAAAAUUGGCGCUAGCCUGAUGCCGCCAUGCCGCGUGUAUGAAGAAGGCCUGCGGGUUGUAAAGUACUUGCAGCUGGGAGGCGUGACCCGCAGAAGAAGCACCGGCUAACUCCGUGCCAGCAGCCGCGGUAAUAC
Molecule: ribosomal RNA, 406 nt
Filed under: uncultured bacterium
Lineage: Bacteria
Description: partial 16S ribosomal RNA
Rfam family: Bacterial small subunit ribosomal RNA
Source: RNAcentral